UACGUAGGGCGCAAGCGUUGUCCGGAAUUAUUGGGCGUAAAGAGCUCGUAGGCGGUCUGUCGCGUCGGCUGUGAAAACUCGGGGCUCAACCCCGAGCCUGCAGUCGAUACGGGCAGACUAGAGUGCUGUAGGGGAGACUGGAAUUCCUGGUGUAGCGGUGAAAUGCGCAGAUAUCAGGAGGAACACCGGUGGCGAAGGCGGGUCUCUGGGCCGAUACUGACGCUGAGGAGCGAAAGCGUGGGGAGCGAACAGGA
Molecule: ribosomal RNA, 254 nt
Filed under: uncultured bacterium
Lineage: Bacteria
Description: partial 16S ribosomal RNA
Rfam family: Bacterial small subunit ribosomal RNA
Source: RNAcentral